AAAAAGUGAAGGGGAAUGGGUUUUCGCGACCUAAGGCUUUUUAAUCAAGCGCUUUUGGCCAAACAAGCUUGGCGCUUAUUGGUUUACCCGGAUUCCCUGUGUGCAAAGGUGAUGAAAGCUAAAUAUUAUCCUCAUGGACACGUAAUUGAUACGGUAUUCCCGCAAGCGACUUCCCUUACUUGGCAAGGUAUUAUGCAUGGGCUUGAGCUGUUGAAAAAGGGCAUUAUAUGGAGAGUUGUCGAUGGAACCAGUAUUAAUAUCUGGAGGGAUAAUUGGAUUCCUAGGGAAGCGGGUCUAAAAAUAACUGCUAAAAAGAAUCAAACGAGGAUCAAAUGGGUGUCUGAAUUAUUCAUGAGUGGGUCUAGGAGGUGGGAUGAGAAUCUGAUCAAACAUCUAUUUUAUCCUCAUGAUACAGAGGAAAUUUUAAAGCUUUGUAUUAUGAAUUUGGGUGAGGGAGAUCUACUUGCUUGGCACUAUGAGAAAAAUGGAUUAUUCUCUGUGAAGAGUGCGUAUAGACUGUCACUGUCUCUCAAGCAAUCAAUAGGUGAUUCCCGGAAUUUUAGUAAUGCCAUGAAUGGGGAACGGAGGCUCUGGAACAUAAUUUGGAAAGUGAAUGUUUCCUAG
Molecule: ribosomal RNA, 624 nt
Filed under: Triticum aestivum (bread wheat)
Lineage: Eukaryota; Viridiplantae; Streptophyta; Magnoliopsida; Poales; Poaceae
Description: partial small subunit ribosomal RNA
Source: RNAcentral